RNAcentral lists this ribosomal RNA (524 nucleotides) under uncultured bacterium. RNAcentral's name for it is "partial 16S ribosomal RNA". It matches the Rfam family "Bacterial small subunit ribosomal RNA", at positions 28 to 523 of the family's 1533-position model. The record is from RNAcentral.
GACGAACGCUGGCGGCGUGCUUAACACAUGCAAGUCGAACGAGACGAUUGAAAGCUUGCUUUCGAAAGUCGAGUGGCAAACGGGUGAGUAACGCGUAGACAACCUGCCUUUGAGAUGGGGACAACAGUUCGAAAGGACUGCUAAUACCGAAUGUUGUAUAUUUUCCACAUGGAAGAUAUAUUAAAGAUGGCCUCUAUUUAUAAGCUAUCGCUCAAAGAUGGGUCUGCGUCUGAUUAGCUGGUUGGUGGGGUAACGGCCUACCAAGGCGACGAUCAGUAGCCGGUCUGAGAGGAAGAACGGCCACAUUGGGACUGAGACACGGCCCAGACUCCUACGGGAGGCAGCAGUGGGGAAUCUUCCACAAUGGACGAAAGUCUGAUGGAGCAACGCCGCGUGAGUGAAGAAGGGUUUCGGCUCGUAAAGCUCUGUUGUCGGGGACGAAUGUGCAGUAUUUGAAUAAAGUACUGUAAUGACGGUACCUGACGAGGAAGCCACGGCUAACUACGUGCCAGCCGCCGCAGUAA